RNAcentral lists this long non-coding RNA (822 nucleotides) under Chrysemys picta bellii (western painted turtle). RNAcentral's name for it is "lncRNA (ENSCPBG00000013296.1)". The record is from RNAcentral. Lineage: Eukaryota; Metazoa; Chordata; Testudines; Emydidae.
CCCGCAACCCGACCGGGACCCACGACACAAGGAAACUUUGCCGCGAAGGGGGCAGCUCCUUACCUUGGCUUCGCAUUUCCUGUGACAGGACAACUUGCACCCUGCAAGAGAGAGAAACCAGGUCUCAGUAGGGAGCUCACCUCCCCGGCUCCGAGGGCAGGGAACCGGGCCGGCUUCCUGGGGACAAAGAGGGACUGCCCGGGACAGAAACACCAACCAAAACAAACUCUCCAGGCUGCUGCGGGAAACACAGGCGCAGGCCGGGGCGGAGGAGGGGGAGGCAAGCGAAGCACCUGGCACCUAGCCAAGGAUAGCCUUGGCGGCACAGCCUGUGUCUUCCGCCGUGGGCUGUCUGUCCGACAUGGAGCAUGGAGCGGUCCGGAGUGCCUAAGAACCCCCUCCAGAUGCACGGGACUGCCUGAGCCCGCUGGGGCGGAAAUCUUGCUUUCUUCUGAGAUUUCUAGAAAUCCCUUCGGACCAUUGGACUGGUGUAUAAAGCCCCUUUGCUGUGGGACCUCUUUGGACACAGGCAGCAGGAGGCUGCUGGUGACAACAUUUUUCUAAAGACGGGAAAAAACCAAGACUUGCACAAGGGAAGGAACACGCUGCUAACGCCUGCCUCGUUAUAAACCAGCACUCACCACUCCCCUCACUCCCGGGGCUCCGCUGUCCCCGGCGGCCGGAGCACCACGCCGCCCCCCUCCAGGUGCCGCCCCAAGCACAAGCUUGGUGGGCUGGUGCCUGGAGCCGGCCCUGCUGCUGGCCACGUAGUCACUGAUGGACAAGGGGAAUUACCCACCCCAGUCCCCAGGGUCCGGCCCC